GCAGAAUGAGGCCAGCUUCCAAAUUUAGUGCUUUUCUCUGGCACAAUUCCUGUCUUAUUAUAACUGACGAAGUAUGACUAAUGCAAGCAUAGACAGAUCAACUUGAUGGACAUGUAGUAUAUAAAACAUUGAAUUAUCUGUUCAAGUUUGUCCAGACCAGAUAUUUAUCAACAAAAUUAUUACAUCAAAAAUCAUAUUAGAUUUGAGUCUAUUUAUAAGUUGUGUGGAGAG
Molecule: unclassified non-coding RNA, 231 nt
Filed under: Hevea brasiliensis (rubber tree)
Lineage: Eukaryota; Viridiplantae; Streptophyta; Magnoliopsida; Malpighiales; Euphorbiaceae
Source: RNAcentral